This is a small nuclear RNA of 197 nucleotides. Its record names the gene U2. It matches the Rfam family "U2 spliceosomal RNA". From Rfam's summary of the family: U2 is a small nuclear RNA (snRNA) component of the spliceosome (involved in pre-mRNA splicing). Complementary binding between U2 snRNA (in an area lying towards the 5' end but 3' to hairpin I) and the branchpoint sequence (BPS) of the intron results the bulging out of an unpaired adenosine, on the BPS, which initiates a nucleophilic attack at the intronic 5' splice site, thus starting the first of two transesterification reactions that mediate splicing. The record is from Ensembl.
AUCGCUUCUCAGCUUUUUGGCUAAGAUCAAAUGUAGUAUCUGUUCUUAUCAGUUUAAAAACUUUCCAGCCAGAAGAGAGAACAUCAAAAUAUAUUUUAUUAGCACUCUUUAGAGCAAGAACGAGGCUGUGUGCCCCCAUGUAGGAAGUUGCUUAUGUUUCAUAGUUACACAAUUAGUAUGUGGAAAUGGAAACUGAA